This 253-nucleotide ribosomal RNA is filed under the name uncultured bacterium. RNAcentral's name for it is "partial 16S ribosomal RNA". It matches the Rfam family "Bacterial small subunit ribosomal RNA", at positions 524 to 776 of the family's 1533-position model. The record is from RNAcentral.
UACGUAGGGCGCAAGCGUUAUCCGGAAUUAUUGGGCGUAAAGAGCUCGUAGGCGGUUUGUCGCGUCUGCCGGGAAAGUCCGGGGCUCAACUCCGGAUCUGCGGUGGGUACGGGCAGACUAGAGUGCAGUAGGGGAGACUGGAAUUCCUGGUGUAGCGGUGAAAUGCGCAGAUAUCAGGAGGAACACCGAUGGCGAAGGCAGGUCUCUGGGCUGUAACUGACGCUGAGGAGCGAAAGCAUGGGGAGCGAACAGG